GAAAUGCAAUAAGUAAUGUGAAUUGCAGAAUUCAGUGAAUCAUCGAAUCUUUGAACGCACAUUGCGCCCGCCAGUAUUCUGGCGGGCAUGCCUGUUCGAGCGUCAUUUCAACCAUCAAGCCCCCGGCUUGUGUUGGGGACCUGCGGCUGCCCGCAGGCCCUGAAAAACAGUGGCGGGCUCGCUGUCACACCGAGCGUAGUAGCAUACAUUCUCGCUCAGGGCGUGCUGCGGGUUCCGGCCGUUAAACGACCUUCAUAACCCAAGGUUGACCUCGGAUCAGGUAGGAAGACCCGCUGAACUUAAGC
Molecule: unclassified non-coding RNA, 305 nt
Filed under: plant metagenome
Description: partial contains 5.8S ribosomal RNA, internal transcribed spacer 2, and large subunit ribosomal RNA
Rfam family: 5.8S ribosomal RNA (bases 1-105)
Source: RNAcentral